ACAAGAAGGUCGAACUGUAAUAGAUGCGAAGCAAAUCGCGUCGACAAUCGAGCUCUCAUUUGUCUCCGAGGGAGUGUCCCGUGGCUUAGUCCGCGUUCGCAACUCCGCAGUCCGCAGUCGGGAACGGUGGCUGUGUUAAAACGCUCGUGUUCCUCGUCGGUGGCCCGACCGCACUCGUACAUUCAUAUUGUAAAUCGGGUAAUUAUGGAAAGGAAGACACACGCACGGCGCCUCGGCUGACCAUUAAAUUCGGAGUUCGUCGAGACUUUGUAAUUUACUUUACGAGUGGCCAAGACGUAUUGUUCAACGUUGGGACUUGCUGCAUUACUGGUGCAAUAGUUCGGCCUUACAUAUCUAUGUGGACUGGAGUUUUAUGAAGAUUGUAAAUAGCCAACGCAUUAAGAGAAAAUUGGCUCACUCUCUUUUUCAACCGAAACAAAGCAAUAUAACGUAUGCAAAGUAUUCCUUCUGCGAUUGAAUACCUGAUGAUAAGGCGCUACCCUCCAAGAGGAGCCAGCACAGGACCGUGUCCCAAUAAGAUAUCGACUCGGAGCACAACAAGAAUUAAAGAACAAAUUAUGAGUGUGCAAUGUCAGCAGCAGAUUUUCGGUUAAGUUUCAUGUGUACUAGGAAAGAGGCUACUGCGCAUUUAUGACAAGAAAUGAACAAAAUGCGGAGAUAUAAACAAAUGCUACAAUACAAUCAGAAUUCUCGCUGAAGACCUCUCCGCUUAUUUCCAGUCAGCCUGAGUACUAUUACGCCUUAAUGUCUUUUUUGUGCGUUCUUUAAAAUAUUUUUAAUAUCUUUGAAAGUGACCCAGCAAAACAAAGUUUAAUCGAACAUUUAUUUGCAUAGAAAACUUGAAAUAAUGGUUUCAUUUGUUUUGAAAAAAUUUAAAUAUCUCUAACUAAUCAAAAUUUAAAUC
Long non-coding RNA from Nymphalis io (European peacock), 925 nucleotides. RefSeq lists it as uncharacterized. The transcript is spliced from 4 exons. NCBI's taxonomy places the organism in Eukaryota, Metazoa, Arthropoda, Insecta, Lepidoptera, Nymphalidae. The record is from RefSeq and is a predicted model, not a curated record.